This is a non-coding RNA of Acanthosepion pharaonis, 113 nucleotides long. The record is from the annotation of a GenBank genome assembly. NCBI's taxonomy places the organism in Eukaryota, Metazoa, Mollusca, Cephalopoda, Sepiida, Sepiidae.
UAUGGCCAGAUCAUGUUGAAACACCUAUUCUCAUCCGGUCAUCAAAGUUAAGCAAUGUUGAGCUUAGUCAGUACUUAGAUGGAUAACUGCUUGAGAAUUCCAGGUGCUGUAAG